RNAcentral lists this ribosomal RNA (245 nucleotides) under uncultured Alphaproteobacteria bacterium. Its description in RNAcentral is "partial 16S ribosomal RNA". It matches the Rfam family "Bacterial small subunit ribosomal RNA", at positions 1258 to 1503 of the family's 1533-position model. Lineage: Bacteria; Pseudomonadati; Pseudomonadota; Alphaproteobacteria. The record is from RNAcentral.
UGACAAUGGGUUAAUCCCAAAAAACUGUCUCAGUUCGGAUUGGGGUCUGCAACUCGACCCCAUGAAGUCGGAAUCGCUAGUAAUCGCGUAACAGCAUGACGCGGUGAAUACGUUCCCGGGCCUUGUACACACCGCCCGUCACACCAUGGGAGUUGGUUCUACCCGACGACGCUGCGCUAACCUUCGGGAGGCAAGCGGCCACGGUAGGAUCAGCGACUGGGGUGAAGUCGUAACAAGGUAGCCGA